Molecule: ribosomal RNA, 1395 nt
Filed under: Staphylococcus aureus
Lineage: Bacteria; Bacillati; Bacillota; Bacilli; Caryophanales; Staphylococcaceae
Description: bacterial SSU rRNA
Rfam family: Bacterial small subunit ribosomal RNA
Source: RNAcentral
UUUAUGGAGAGUUUGAUCCUGGCUCAGGAUGAACGCUGGCGGCGUGCCUAAUACAUGCAAGUCGAGCGAACGGACGAGAAGCUUGCUUCUCUGAUGUUAGCGGCGGACGGGUGAGUAACACGUGGAUAACCUACCUAUAAGACUGGGAUAACUUCGGGAAACCGGAGCUAAUACCGGAUAAUAUUUUGAACCGCAUGGUUCAAAAGUGAAAGACGGUCUUGCUGUCACUUAUAGAUGGAUCCGCGCUGCAUUAGCUAGUUGGUAAGGUAACGGCUUACCAAGGCAACGAUGCAUAGCCGACCUGAGAGGGUGAUCGGCCACACUGGAACUGAGACACGGUCCAGACUCCUACGGGAGGCAGCAGUAGGGAAUCUUCCGCAAUGGGCGAAAGCCUGACGGAGCAACGCCGCGUGAGUGAUGAAGGUCUUCGGAUCGUAAAACUCUGUUAUUAGGGAAGAACAUAUGUGUAAGUAACUGUGCACAUCUUGACGGUACCUAAUCAGAAAGCCACGGCUAACUACGUGCCAGCAGCCGCGGUAAUACGUAGGUGGCAAGCGUUAUCCGGAAUUAUUGGGCGUAAAGCGCGCGUAGGCGGUUUUUUAAGUCUGAUGUGAAAGCCCACGGCUCAACCGUGGAGGGUCAUUGGAAACUGGAAAACUUGAGUGCAGAAGAGGAAAGUGGAAUUCCAUGUGUAGCGGUGAAAUGCGCAGAGAUAUGGAGGAACACCAGUGGCGAAGGCGACUUUCUGGUCUGUAACUGACGCUGAUGUGCGAAAGCGUGGGGAUCAAACAGGAUUAGAUACCCUGGUAGUCCACGCCGUAAACGAUGAGUGCUAAGUGUUAGGGGGUUUCCGCCCCUUAGUGCUGCAGCUAACGCAUUAAGCACUCCGCCUGGGGAGUACGACCGCAAGGUUGAAACUCAAAGGAAUUGACGGGGACCCGCACAAGCGGUGGAGCAUGUGGUUUAAUUCGAAGCAACGCGAAGAACCUUACCAAAUCUUGACAUCCUUUGACAACUCUAGAGAUAGAGCCUUCCCCUUCGGGGGACAAAGUGACAGGUGGUGCAUGGUUGUCGUCAGCUCGUGUCGUGAGAUGUUGGGUUAAGUCCCGCAACGAGCGCAACCCUUAAGCUUAGUUGCCAUCAUUAAGUUGGGCACUCUAAGUUGACUGCCGGUGACAAACCGGAGGAAGGUGGGGAUGACGUCAAAUCAUCAUGCCCCUUAUGAUUUGGGCUACACACGUGCUACAAUGGACAAUACAAAGGGCAGCGAAACCGCGAGGUCAAGCAAAUCCCAUAAAGUUGUUCUCAGUUCGGAUUGUAGUCUGCAACUCGACUACAUGAAGCUGGAAUCGCUAGUAAUCGUAGAUCAGCAUGCUACGGUGAAUACGUUCCCGG